UACGGGGGGAGCAAGCGUUGUUCGGAUUUACUGGGCGUAAAGGGCGCGUAGGCGGUCGUGACAAGUCACUUGUGAAAUCUCCGGGCUUAACUCGGAACGGUCAAGUGAUACUGUCGGACUAGAGUACAGAAGGGGCAACUGGAAUUCUCGGUGUAGCGGUGAAAUGCGUAGAUAUCGAGAGGAACACCUGCGGCGAAGGCGGGUUGCUGGGCUGAUACUGACGCUGAGGAGCGAAGCGUGGGAGCGAACAGG
This 252-nucleotide ribosomal RNA is filed under the name uncultured bacterium. Its description in RNAcentral is "partial 16S ribosomal RNA". It matches the Rfam family "Bacterial small subunit ribosomal RNA", at positions 524 to 776 of the family's 1533-position model. The record is from RNAcentral.